UACGGAGGGUGCAAGCGUUAUCCGGAUUCACUGGGUUUAAAGGGAGCGUAGGUGGGCUUGUAAGUCAGUGGUGAAAUCUCCGUGCUUAACACGGAAACUGCCAUUGAUACUAUAGGUCUUGAAUGUUCUGGAGGUUAGCGGAAUAUGUCAUGUAGCGGUGAAAUGCUUAGAUAUGACAUAGAACACCAAUUGCGUAGGCAGCUUACUACACGAUCAUUGACGCUGAGGCACGAAAGCGUGGGGAGCAAACGGG
RNAcentral lists this ribosomal RNA (253 nucleotides) under uncultured bacterium. RNAcentral describes it as "partial 16S ribosomal RNA". It matches the Rfam family "Bacterial small subunit ribosomal RNA", at positions 524 to 776 of the family's 1533-position model. The record is from RNAcentral.